UACCCGCAGCACAAGUGGUGGUCAUUAUUAUUGGGCCUAAAGCGUCCGUAGCUGGCCUGUUAGAUGCCUGGGUAAAUCGAUGCGCUUAACGUAUCGAAUUCCGGGUAGACCGGCAGGCUCGAGACCGGGAGAGGUGUAGGCUACUCGGGGGGUAGGGGUAAAAUCCUGUAAUCCUUCGGGGAGGACCAGUGGCGAAGGCGCUACACUAGAACGGCUCUGACAGUGAGGGACGAAGCCCUGGGGCGCAAACCGG
This 253-nucleotide ribosomal RNA is filed under the name uncultured bacterium. Its description in RNAcentral is "partial 16S ribosomal RNA". It matches the Rfam family "Archaeal small subunit ribosomal RNA", at positions 474 to 727 of the family's 1478-position model. The record is from RNAcentral.